CGUAGGGUGCGAGCGUUGUCCGGAAUUAUUGGGCGUAAAGAGCUUGUAGGCGGUUUGUCGCGUCUGCUGUGAAAAUCCGGGGCUCAACCCCGGACUUGCAGUGGGUACGGGCAGACUAGAGUGUGGUAGGGGAGACUGGAAUUCCUGGUGUAGCGGUGAAAUGCGCAGAUAUCAGGAGGAACACCGGCGGCGAAGGCGGGUCUCUUGGCCUUACCUGACGCUGAGGAGCGAAAGCAUGGGUAGCCAACAGGAUUAGAUACCCCGGUAGUCCCU
RNAcentral lists this ribosomal RNA (273 nucleotides) under uncultured prokaryote. RNAcentral's name for it is "partial 16S ribosomal RNA". It matches the Rfam family "Bacterial small subunit ribosomal RNA", at positions 526 to 798 of the family's 1533-position model. The record is from RNAcentral.